RNAcentral lists this transfer RNA (68 nucleotides) under Gehyra mutilata (stump-toed gecko). RNAcentral's name for it is "tRNA-Trp". The record is from RNAcentral. Lineage: Eukaryota; Metazoa; Chordata; Lepidosauria; Squamata; Gekkonidae.
AGAAAUUUAGGUUAAUCCAAACCAGGGACCUUCAAAGCCCCAAAUACGAGCAAAUCUCUUAAUUUCUG